Molecule: ribosomal RNA, 119 nt
Filed under: Niveispirillum irakense
Lineage: Bacteria; Pseudomonadati; Pseudomonadota; Alphaproteobacteria; Rhodospirillales; Azospirillaceae
Source: RNAcentral
GACCUGGUGGUCAUAGCGAGGGCCCCCCACCCGAUCCCAUCCCGAACUCGGCCGUGAAACCCCUCUGCGCCAAUGGUACUUUGUCUUAAGGCACGGGAGAGUAGGUCGCCGCCAGGUCC